RNAcentral lists this ribosomal RNA (315 nucleotides) under uncultured eukaryote. RNAcentral's name for it is "partial 18S ribosomal RNA". It matches the Rfam family "Eukaryotic small subunit ribosomal RNA", at positions 1470 to 1796 of the family's 1831-position model. The record is from RNAcentral.
CCCUUAGAUGUUCUGGGCUGCACGCGCGCUACACUGACGCGCGCAACAGGUGCCUGCUCCGAGAGGACUGGGUAAUCAUUUGAGUGUGCGUCGUGAUGGGGAUAGAAUAUUGUAAUUAUUACUCUUCAACGAGGAAUUCCUAGUAAGCGCCAGUCAGCAGCUUGCGCUGAUUGCGUCCCUGCCCUUUGUACACACCGCCCGUCGCUCCUACCGAUGGGUGAUCCGGUGAAUGAUUCGGACUUCAGCGGCUCCCCUGGGGUGCGCCGGAGAAAGUUUUGUGAACCUUAUCACUUGGAGGAAGGAGAAGUCGUAACA